This is a non-coding RNA of Erythranthe guttata (spotted monkey flower), 2682 nucleotides long. Lineage: Eukaryota; Viridiplantae; Streptophyta; Magnoliopsida; Lamiales; Phrymaceae. The record is from RefSeq and is a predicted model, not a curated record.
GAAGGAAGCCGCCGAAUUAUGUGGUAAUAAUAAUUCCAACAUGGCCCAAAAAGGGGCGGAGUAGAGAGAGUUUAUGAAUCUUUUGACAACUGCUAUGUGCACCCAACAGGUGAAACUUCUUAUUUGUAAUUGUCGCACUUUAUUUUGGCUUAAUUUCAUUAAUACCCCUCUAAGAUGCUCUAAUUACAAUUUAAUUGGAUUCUUGAAUAUAAAAUGAUCAAACUUUUCUGCAGUCUGUAUUUCCUUUUGUCCUAUCAUGAACUAUGCAUUUAGAAUUAUUUACUCCUUUGUGCAGCUAAGCAGAAACUAAUCAAUUGUACAUGGUAUAUAUUGUGUCAGUUUCUUGUUGACAAUUUAGUAGGUAUGUCCCUUAUUAGAUUGCUAGAAACAACUUUGUUGAGAGUUAAGUUGCAAUCUAGCUAGCUAACCAAUUUUUUUUUUUUUUAAAUUAAAAUCCUCUAUAAAUUUCGAUUUAAAAGAUCAAUCUUCAUCCAGAUUAUUCCAUGUUUGUUUCAAAUUACUUAAAAAAAUCCUCAUACGAAUAGGAAGAUUUGAAAAAGAUUAAAAAAAAAAAAAACGAAUAUGACCUACACUUUCUACUGUGUUGGUGCAUUAUUAUUACUACAUUUGAUCACUUGCCAUCAUCAAAUUGUCAUUGCCGCUUCAUUCACAAGAGGCACAAUAAGUAGUAGUAAGCUCUCCCUCAGGCUAAUUCACCGUCAUUCGAUAACUCCACCACCUAUUCACAGGCUUUCAUCGGACAAUGAUGAUAUACGAGCUCCAUUAAUUCCGAUGGAAGACACCAGUCUUUUCCUGGUCAACAUCUCCAUCGGUCAUCCCCCGGUCCCGCAGCUCCUAGCCAUGGACACCGGCAGCAACCUCAUUUGGGUCCACUGCACCCGUUGUGACAGCUGUAAAACCAAAAUAUUCGACCCGAAAAGAUCCUCCACCUACAUUGGUAUAUCCAACUCAUCCCGCCUCUGUCAGGACUACGCCGCCUCCCCCAGCUACAACAACCCGCAGUACGAUUCGCAGUGCUCUUUCGGAAUAAGAUACGAGGACAAUACCGCAAGCAGCGGCGUCCUCGCCCUGGAGAAGUUCACUUUCCUGACUUCCACCGGAGGUACGGUGGAAAUCCCUAACGUGGUCCUAGGGUGCACCCUAGAAUUCGACGGGGGUCCCGGUGGAAACUUCAACGGAAUCUUCGGCCUCGAAGCCCCCAACGAGCACCACUUCGUCUCCCGCACCGGCGGCAACAGAUUCUCCUACUGCCUAGGCAGCAUUAGAGAUACGAGCUAUAUCUAUAACCAGCUGAUUUUGGGAAGCGGAGCUAUAAUCCAGGGCAUGUCCACUCCCAUGAGCACUAGGAACAACCACUACUUUGUCACAAUCGAAGGCAUAAGCGUGGGGGAUAAGCAGUUGGCCAUAAAUGAGUACGAUUUCUAUUACAAUGCUGUGAUAGAUACAGGUACGACUUUUACGGAGCUCGUGAAGAGUGCGUACGUGCAGCUUGUGGAGGAGGUGAGGGGGUUGAUGGAUGGGUUAUUGGAGCCCGCGCAUGUCGGGAAUGGCGAUAAUAUGCUGUGCUAUUUGGGGGAUUUGGAUAAAGAUCUCAAAGGGUUUCCGAUUGUGAGCUUGCAUCUUUCGGAAGGGGUUGAUAUUGAUUUGGAUGUUGAAGGAAUGUUCCAGAAGACUCCGGAAGGAUUGGGGUUCUGCAUGGCGGUUGUGGAAUCGAAGUCGAUGAAUGUGAUCGGUGUGAUGGCGCAGCAGUACUACAAUGUGGGGUUUAAUUUGGAUAAUAUGAGGGCAAUAGACUAUUUCGACGGAUCCUACUGCAGGGGCAUUAUCGUCUUCGAGAAGUUCACGUUCGCUACAUCUGACGGGGGCAUAUCGGUGAUUCCCGAUUUAAUGUUUGGCCGGGGGUCAAAAGCAUUGGAACCGUGGAGACACUACACGGGAUCUUCGCACUCCAAAACCUUAACCGUUGGUGCUGGGCGAAGGAGCUGUGAUCGAAGGCAACUCAACCCCGUUGAGAAUUUGGCACGGUUACUAUGUGGUGAGCAUACAGGGGAUUAGUGUAGGGGAGAAGCAACUCGAGUUCGACAAGCAAGAAUUUUAUUACAACGUUGUAAUAAAUUCGUUUGAUUCGACUUGAAUGGGAUGGAAGCUUCUCUGCAACAGCACAAAGUCUCUUAAACCAGACGAACUUUGGGAGCCAAAAAGGGUAUAUUUCUUGCUGCCUUAUUCACUCUUCGAAACCAACGUUUCGCCAUUGUACUUUGCCCCCACUGCUAGAAAACUGGCCUCGGUUGCACAGAAGGGCACUUCCAAAUCCAAGUCAUGCAACCAUAAACUGCCAGCAAGUUCAGACCGAGUUUUUUCAGACAAGAGCAACAACAUAGGAGUCGAAAUGGGGAACGGUGAAGUGUUUCUUGGUACGAAAAAGUGUUCAAAGUCGAGAUCCUGGAGUUCGGUCUUGGCUACAAUUCGAGAGAAAUCUUUCGAUAGCAGAAGUGAAUCUGAGUUAAAGGAAAGUAUACAAUUCAAGUUGAUGUAUAGUGCAAGAGGGGUUCUUUUUGUUUUUUUUUUUUUUUUUUUUUUUUUUUUUUUGUUUUGUUUUGUUUUAAGUUAGCUUUACUAAAAAUAGGAGAAUUAAAUCAUAAUUGUUGAUAUAUUAUUUGC